GCCACUGGGCCUGAGCUCCCCUGCAAGCAAGGAAGGACCUCCCUGGGGCAGAGGCUGAGAGGAAGAGCCUCCCCGGGGCAGAGGUGUGACAGCUGAGCCAGAGCCAGGGGGCAGGGGAAGGUUGGGGGGUCCCUCGGCGUGUUUGUCAGCCCUGACCUCAGUGUGGGAGAACUGUGUGUGGCUCCCACACCAGAAAGGAGAGAGACACCGGGCCAGCUGCUCCUUUGAGAAUCUGCUGCAUAUGGAGGAGCAUGAUUUUUGGAAUGAGCAUAUGGUUUUGGAACCCAAAAAUGUGUGCUGCGAUCCUGAUACCCUUAUUGCACUCUGCACUUGAUGGAUCAGCUGGCAUCAUCCAGAUCAAUAAACUGGCUCACUUGAUCUUGGCCCCCAACCCAGGAACUGACUCAGCGCAAGAAGACUGCUCCAACUCCCUAUGAUUUCAUCUCUGACCAAUCGGCACUCCUGGCUCACUGGUUUCCCCCUACCUACCAAAUUAUCCUUAAAACCUGUGCUCCCCUCCCAAAUGCUCAGAGAGACUGAUUUGAGUAAUAAUAAAACUCUGGUCUCCUGCACAGCC
RNAcentral lists this long non-coding RNA (577 nucleotides) under Homo sapiens (human). RNAcentral describes it as "HSALNT0347211". Lineage: Eukaryota; Metazoa; Chordata; Mammalia; Primates; Hominidae. The record is from RNAcentral.